This 253-nucleotide ribosomal RNA is filed under the name uncultured bacterium. RNAcentral describes it as "partial 16S ribosomal RNA". It matches the Rfam family "Bacterial small subunit ribosomal RNA", at positions 524 to 776 of the family's 1533-position model. The record is from RNAcentral.
UACGUAGGGGGCGAGCGUUGUCCGGAAUCAUUGGGCGUAAAGCGCGUGUAGGCGGCCCGGUAAGCCCGCUGUGAAAGUCCAGGGCUCAACCCUGGGAUGCCGGUGGAUACUGUCGGGCUCGAGUCCGGAAGAGGCGAGUGGAAUUCCUGGUGUAGCGGUGAAAUGCGCAGAUAUCAGGAGGAACACCAAUGGCGAAGGCAGCUCGCUGGGACGUGACUGACGCUGAGACGCGAAAGCGUGGGGAGCAAACAGG